GUACAAAUAGUCAGUCCUGCCACUUCCACUUUGCCAGAUGUUACCGCUCUGUCUCCUGUUCCACAUCUCACCACCCAACUACCUUGCUCUGGAUUUUACUCACAACCACUAUCUUGGAUUCCCCUCAGGACCUGUUUACCCUGUUCUAUUCAGUUAACUCCAACCUCAGUCUCCACAUCUGUUUUUUCUGCAACUUAUCCAAGCUUCCCUGGAUCUGCACUCCAUAUCUCCCUGUAUAACAAAUAUUUUGGCUCAUUUAUCCCUGUUUCCUUAUCUGAGGCUCUUGGGUUCCCCUGUGUCACUCCGCUUAACAAAUAUCUGUACAUUAUUGGAACACCUGUAAUUACAAAAGUACAAUGAUUCAUGCUUUGCUUUAGCUUGAGAUUAAGAAUCAGUGGUAGACAUUUUGUAAGUGCACGAAGAGCUCAAUUGUACAAAAGCCAUACAAAUGCCUGUUUGAAACUUUCAGUUUCUGUUGAUACUAUGUUCCAGUCUUACUUCUGAUAGCAAAAGGAGGAAGAAGGAUUGGGAAACUAACUGCAAAUAACAAACUGAACUCCACCUAGCAGAAACAUCUUUGUGUUAGCAGCUAUUAAUUAUGAGCUUAUAUGGUAUUCAUGUUAAGGGGCAUCACCCUGGGCAGGGUGAACCUUAGUAGCAUAGAGUUAAACAAGAACAAAACAAGCAAGUUUUAAUAAGAGUUAAAGUUGAAUCAACUCUGGAAAUGUAACACUUGGUGAAGAGUUAAUUUUACACUGUGUGGAGUGGGACCAUGUUAUCUCAGGCAGUGUUACAUGUGUGUCGUUCCACGAAAUGAGUGCCUUUUGUGUCUCUUAUUUUAAGUAGAAAUUGUGCACCAAUAUUGAAUUUUAUAAGACUUAUAUUCAAUGAAGUGCCCUUUAAUAUAAACCACAUGGGAAAUUAAAUAAAUCCCUCUGUGACUUCCAGGAAGAUUUUAACCCACUUAACCCCAACAUUUCUCCAAGUUGUCCCCAUCAUUGUAAAGUUAUUUUGUUCCUUUGACAAAGCCAUUUCUGAAGAUUAUUAUUGUUCAAGAUAGCAUGCCCAGGUCGCCGCAGGUCUGUGGAGAUCUUCACAAUUGCUGUAAUAACUUGAGCAGAAUCUCGAACGGCAUUGAUCUCUUGCACCAUGUACUUUCAAUGUAAUCUCAAUUGCAAUCCAGGACAUUUGGUGAUGCUAUUAGAUGAAGCAGAGGUACAACACAUUCAUCUCGUGAAUAAAUAAAUACAAUAUCUCACAUUGCAUUCCAA
Oncorhynchus mykiss (rainbow trout) is the source of this 1271-nucleotide non-coding RNA. Lineage: Eukaryota; Metazoa; Chordata; Actinopteri; Salmoniformes; Salmonidae. The record is from RefSeq and is a predicted model, not a curated record.